This 742-nucleotide ribosomal RNA is filed under the name uncultured bacterium. Its description in RNAcentral is "bacterial SSU rRNA". It matches the Rfam family "Bacterial small subunit ribosomal RNA", at positions 8 to 796 of the family's 1533-position model. The record is from RNAcentral.
AGAGUUUGAUCCUGGCUCAGAACGAACGCUGGCGGCAUGCCUAACACAUGCAAGUCGAACGAGACCUUCGGGUCUAGUGGCGCACGGGUGCGUAACGCGUGGGAACCUGCCUUUAGGUUCGGAUUAACUCAGAGAAAUUUGAGCUAAUACUGGAUAAUGUCUUCGGACCAAAGAUUUAUCGCCUUUAGAUGGGCCCGCGUUGGAUUAGCUAGUUGGUGGGGUAAAGGCCUACCAAGGCGACGAUCCAUAGCUGGUCUGAGAGGAUGAUCAGCCACACUGGGACUGAGACACGGCCCAGACUCCUACGGGAGGCAGCAGUGGGGAAUAUUGGACAAUGGGCGAAAGCCUGAUCCAGCAAUGCCGCGUGAGUGAUGAAGGCCUUAGGGUUGUAAAGCUCUUUUACCCGAGAUGAUAAUGACAGUAUCGGGAGAAUAAGCCCCGGCUAACUCCGUGCCAGCAGCCGCGGUAAUACGGAGGGAGCUAGCGUUGUUCGGAAUUACUGGGCGUAAAGCGCACGUAGGCGGCUUUUUAAGUCAGGGGUGAAAUCCCGGGGCUCAACCCCGGAACUGCCCUUGAAACUGGGAAGCUAGAAUCUUGGAGAGGCGAGUGGAAUUCCGAGUGUAGAGGUGAAAUUCGUAGAUAUUCGGAAGAACACCAGUGGCGAAGGCGACUCGCUGGACAAGUAUUGACGCUGAGGUGCGAAAGCGUGGGGAGCGAACAGGAUUAGAUACCCUGGUAGUCC